RNAcentral lists this ribosomal RNA (274 nucleotides) under uncultured bacterium. RNAcentral's name for it is "partial 16S ribosomal RNA". It matches the Rfam family "Bacterial small subunit ribosomal RNA", at positions 523 to 796 of the family's 1533-position model. The record is from RNAcentral.
AUACGGAGGCUGCAAGCGUUACUCGGAAUCACUGGGCGUAAAGCGCGCGCAGGCGGGCUGAUAAGUUGGAUGUGAAAGCCUACGGCUCAACCGUAGAACUGCAUCCAAAACUGUCAGUCUAGAGUCUGGGAGGGGAAGAUGGAAUUAGUUGUGUAGGGGUAAAAUCCGUAGAGAUAACUAGGAAUACCAAAAGCGAAGGCGAUCUUCAGGAACAGUACUGACGCUGAGGCGCGAAAGCGUGGGGAGCAAACAGGAUUAGAAACCCUAGUAGUCC